CAUCUCACUUCUCAGAGCGGCGGACGGGUGAGUAAUGCGUGAACAAUCUACCGGCAAGACUGGGACAACACCGGGAAACUGGUGCUAAUACCGGAUAAUCUCCACCGGCGGCAUCGUUGGUGGAGGAAAGUCGGCCUCUGGAUAUGCUGGCGCUUGUCGAUGAGUUCACGUCCCAUUAGCUUGUUGGUGGGGUAACGGCCCACCAAGGCGACGAUGGGUAGCCGGCCUGAGAGGGUGGUCGGCCACACUGGGACUGAGACACGGCCCAGACUCCUACGGGAGGCAGCAGUGGGGAAUCUUCCGCAAUGGGCGCAAGCCUGACGGAGCGACGCCGCGUGAGGGACGAAGGCCUUCGGGUUGUAAACCUCUUUUCUGGGGGAAGAACGUCCGGCCUGUUAAUAGCGGGUUGGGUUGACGGUACCUCAGGAAUAAGCCCCGGCUAACUACGUGCCAGCAGCCGCGGUAAUACGUAGGGGGCGAGCGUUGUCCGGAAUCACUGGGCGUAAAGGGCGCGUAGGCGGCUUGAGAAGUCGCAGGUGAAAUCCCGCGGCUCAACCGUGGAACUGCCUGCGAAACCAUUGGGCUUGAGGACAGGAGAGGGAAGCGGAAUUCCUGGUGUAGCGGUGAAAUGCGUAGAUAUCAGGAGGAACACCAGUGGCGAAGGCGGCUUUCUGGCCUGGUCCUGACGCUGAGGCGCGAAAGCUAGGGGAGCAAACAGGAUUAGAUACCCUGGUAGUCCUAGCUGUAAACGAUGGGCACUAGGUGUUGGGGGGUUCAUACCCUUCAGUGCCGUAGGUAACCCAAUAAGUGCCCCGCCUGGGGAGUACGGUCGCAAGACUGAAACUCAAAGGAAUUGACGGGGGCCCGCACAAGCGGUGGAGCAUGUGGUUUAAUUCGAUGCAACGCGAAGAACCUUACCAGGGUUUGACAUGUCGGUGGUACGGAGUGGAAACACGAAGGACCCUUCGGGGAGCCGGUACAGGUGGUGCAUGGUUGUCGUCAGCUCGUGCCGUGAGGUGUUGGGUUAAGUCCCGCAACGAGCGCAACCCUUACUUCUAGUUGCCAGCGGGUUAAGCCGGGCACUCUAGAGGGACUGCCGUCGACAAGGCGGAGGAAGGUGGGGAUGACGUCAAAUCAUCAUGCCCUUUAUACCCUGGGCUACACACGUGCUACAAUGGCCGGUACAGCGGGAAGCUAAGGCGUGAGCUGGAGCAAAUCCCAAAAAGCCGGUCCAAGUUCGGAUUGCAGGCUGCAACUCGCCUGCAUGAAGUCGGAAUCGCUAGUAAUCGCAGUCAGCAUAACUGCGAGACAC
Molecule: ribosomal RNA, 1312 nt
Filed under: uncultured bacterium
Lineage: Bacteria
Description: bacterial SSU rRNA
Rfam family: Bacterial small subunit ribosomal RNA
Source: RNAcentral